RNAcentral lists this long non-coding RNA (1206 nucleotides) under Mytilus galloprovincialis (Mediterranean mussel). Lineage: Eukaryota; Metazoa; Mollusca; Bivalvia; Mytilida; Mytilidae. The record is from RNAcentral.
CUGGGUUUAACGCUUUCUAUAUUUAUUUUCUUUCUUUCUUUCUAUCGAUUUAUUUAUUUAUAAAACAUUGCAUUCUUUGAUGACCUUUGAAUAAACUCAUACGAUUGCUUUGCUGUUUCAUAUAAUCAUCCCGUCUAAGCUUUCUAAGAAUCACUCUUUUUUAUGUUGGUUAAUAUUCCGUAUCAACUUCACAAAUGAUACACAAGUUUUGAAGUAUAUAUUCCAGGUCCUAGUGUUCUUUUAUGUAUCUUUGUAAAAAAAAGUAUUACUCUUACUGUUAAGUCUAAUUUUGUUAAUAUCCAUUUGACGUGGCUCGUUGCUUAUAGUAAAUGUAUUAUUGUGAUAAAGUUUUUUUUUUAUAUAUUGUCUUUUGUAUUGCUGGUAAGCCUUGUUUACAUGCCUUUCUGAUUUCUUUGUUGACAUAUUUGUUUUUUUUUUAUAUUUAUUAAGAUUAUAACUCAAAAUUGACUGCUGUAUCCCUAUUUUUGCCAUUUGUUCCUACUAUGUCUAUUUGUUCUGCUCACACAUUGUUGUCAAUAUAAUGGAAUUAAGUGCGACUGUCAUAUAAGUGAGAGGUUUAGAUAGCUUUCAAACAAGGUUCAAUCCACCAUUUUCUACAAAUAUAAAUGCCGGGACCAAGUUAGGAAUCUAACAGAAUCUUAUCCCUUCUUUUUAUGUGUUUAAACUUUUAAUUUUGCCAUUUGAUUAGGGUCUUUCCGUUUUUAAUUUCCUCGAUUUUCGGUAUUUUAUUUGUUUUCUUUUUUAUGUUUUCCAUUACAACAUAUGAAUAUAGUAUGUUGAAUUUUAUGUAAUAAUCGUAACUUUCUUCUAACACAUAAAAGUUCGUUAUAAAUAUUUAUAUUACUAUUUAAGACCGAAAGAAGUAUAACUAUUCUAACAGCCUCAUGCUUCAAUCGCUCUAUUCUGUUGCAAUAACCCACACUCAUAUUAUUCAAAACCUUACAAGCAUAUUCAAAUCUAGUAUCGUCCUUACUAAAUCAAGCACAAUUUGGCCUCUCUAGUCCAUCAGUUAAACCCUAUUUAAAAUCCACCUUCGAUCAGAAUAGAGACGUUCUAUCUGAUGUGAUUCAAAUCUAUAUCAUAUUUUCUUUGUUUAGUGAACUACAAUUUCCUCUUUUUCUGUUUAACUCGGUUUCUUUCUCAGGAAAAUUUUAACAUCAAGGACAUAUUAAUUAAAAUGAAAUU